UGAGGAAUAUUGGACAAUGGGCGCAAGCCUGAUCCAGCCAUGCCGCGUGCAGGAUGACGGUCCUAUGGAUUGUAAACUGCUUUUGUACAGGAAGAAACAGUUCUACGUGUAGAACCUUGACGGUACUGUAAGAAUAAGGAUCGGCUAACUCCGUGCCAGCAGCCGCGGUAAUACGGAGGAUCCAAGCGUUAUCCGGAAUCAUUGGGUUUAAAGGGUCCGUAGGCGGUUAGAUAAGUCAGUGGUGAAAGCCCAUCGCUCAACGGUGGAACGGCCAUUGAUACUGUCUGACUUGAAUUAUUAGGAAGUAACUAGAAUAUGUAGUGUAGCGGUGAAAUGCUUAGAGAUUACAUGGAAUACCAAUUGCGAAGGCAGGUUACUACUAAUGGAUUGACGCUGAUGGACGAAAGCGUGGUAGCGAACAGGAUUAGAUACCCCCGUAGUCCCUGAGCGGGCUGGCAAGGCGCAU
Molecule: ribosomal RNA, 466 nt
Filed under: uncultured bacterium
Lineage: Bacteria
Description: bacterial SSU rRNA
Rfam family: Bacterial small subunit ribosomal RNA
Source: RNAcentral